Molecule: ribosomal RNA, 253 nt
Filed under: uncultured bacterium
Lineage: Bacteria
Description: partial 16S ribosomal RNA
Rfam family: Bacterial small subunit ribosomal RNA
Source: RNAcentral
UACGUAGGGGGCAAGCGUUGUCCGGAAUUAUUGGGCGUAAAGGGCGCGUAGGCGGUCCAUUAAGUCGGAUGUGAAAUCCAGGGGCUCAACCCCUGAACUGCACCCGAUACUGGUGGACUUGAGGUAGGUAGAGGAGAGUGGAAUUUCUGGUGUAGCGGUGGAAUGCGCAGAUAUCAGAAGGAACACCGAUGGCGAAGGCAGCUCUCUGGGCCUUACCUGACGCUGAGGCGCGAAAGCAUGGGUAGCAAACAGG